This 548-nucleotide long non-coding RNA is filed under the name Olea europaea subsp. europaea. Lineage: Eukaryota; Viridiplantae; Streptophyta; Magnoliopsida; Lamiales; Oleaceae. The record is from RNAcentral.
AUUGAUUAACUUUAAGUGAUCAGCAAAAAUGAAACAAUAACUGAGUUUAAUUAAAAUAUAAAAUCAAAUUCCAUCAUUUAUGCUUCUUUAAACUAGCAGGUAUUGAAGCAAGAGAGUUUUUCACAAAAGAGCUUACAUUUCUCAUAGAGCUUCUUCUGAAAAACUAACCUAUAAAGCAUGGAAUUGUUAUCAGAUACAAUUAUUUUCUAUAGAAUUCACAAAAUUGCUUACAGUCUGGUUGAUGCAAUUUGUAGAUUGGAGUUGAGGAGGGAUGCCAACUGAAAGGGGAUCGGACCGGUUAAUACACGAGUGCGACGUUUCUGAACAAUCUGCCAUUUCUAAGGCAAAUUGAGAAAGCCCAUAUGCCUAGUAGAUGCAUAAUGAUGAGUUAUCGUCUGUGGUGGUUGUCCGUGAUCAUGGGUCCCACCACCGACGCUGGAAAAAGGGCCUAAAAGCUAUCUCUGCGUUGUCUUCGAAUGGGCAACCUGCUGAUUUCGAUUCUAUGAAUUAUGGGCAAUUGUGGACCAUGGAAAGGAGCUCCUUGGUGU